AGUGAACGCUGGCGGUAGGCCUAACACAUGCAAGUCGAACGGCAGCACAGUAAGAGCUUGCUCUUACGGGUGGCGAGUGGCGGACGGGUUAGGAAUACAUCGGAAUCUACUUUUUCGUGGGGGAUAACGUAGGGAAACUUACGCUAAUACCGCAUACGACCUACGGGUGAAAGCAGGGGAUCUUCGGACCUUGCGCGAUUGAAUGAGCCGAUGUCGGAUUAGCUAGUUGGCGGGGUAAAGGCCCACCAAGGCGACGAUCCGUAGCUGGUCUGAGAGGACGAUCAGCCACACUGGAACUGAGACACGGUCCAGACUCCUACGGGAGGCAGCAGUGGGGAAUAUUGGACAAUGGGCGCAAGCCUGAUCCAGCCAUACCGCGUGGGUGAAGAAGGCCUUCGGGUUGUAAAGCCCUUUUGUUGGGAAAGAAAAGCAGCAGGUUAAUACCCCGCUGUUCUGACGGUACCCAAAGAAUAAGCACCGGCUAACUUCGUG
This 492-nucleotide ribosomal RNA is filed under the name uncultured bacterium. RNAcentral's name for it is "partial 16S ribosomal RNA". It matches the Rfam family "Bacterial small subunit ribosomal RNA", at positions 29 to 507 of the family's 1533-position model. The record is from RNAcentral.